GCCAUGCAUGUCUAAGUAUAAGCAACUAUACUGUGAAACUGCGAAUGGCUCAUUAAAUCAGUUAUCGUUUAUUUGAUAGUACCUUUACCUGGAUAACCGUGGUAAUUCUAGAGCUAAUACAUGCUAAAAACCUCGACUUCGGAAGGGGUGUAUUUAUUAGAUAAAAAACCAAUGCCCUUCGGGGCUCCUUGGUGAAUCAUAAUAACUUAACGAAUCGCAUGGCCUUGCGCCGGCGAUGGUUCAUUCAAAUUUCUGCCCUAUCAACUUUCGAUGGUAAGAUAGAGGCUUACCAUGGUCUUAACGGGUAACGGGGAAUUAGGGUUCUAUUCCGGAGAGGGAGCCUGAGAAACGGCUACCACAUCCAAGGAAGGCAGCAGGCGCGCAAAUUACCCAAUCCCGUCACGGGGAGGUAGUGACAAUAAAUACUGAUACGGGGCUCUUUUGGGUCUCGUAAUUGGAAUGAGUACAAUCUAAAUCCCUUAACGAGGAACAAUUGGAGGGCAAGUCUGGUGCCAGCAGCCGCGGUAAUUCCAGCUCCAAUAGCGUAUAUUAAAGUUGUUGCCGUUAAAAAGCUCGUAGUUGAACCUUGGGCCUGGCUGACCUGUCCUCCUAAUCGAG
This 618-nucleotide ribosomal RNA is filed under the name Chaetothyriales sp. RNAcentral's name for it is "SSU rRNA". It matches the Rfam family "Eukaryotic small subunit ribosomal RNA", at positions 48 to 672 of the family's 1831-position model. Lineage: Eukaryota; Fungi; Ascomycota; Eurotiomycetes; Chaetothyriales. The record is from RNAcentral.